GCUAACGUAGCUUACCCAAAGCAUAACACUGAAGAUGUUAAGACGAGUCCUAGAAAACUCCGUGGGCA
RNAcentral lists this transfer RNA (68 nucleotides) under Datnioides polota (four-banded tigerfish). RNAcentral describes it as "tRNA-Phe". RNAcentral also lists the same sequence under 3 other names. The record is from RNAcentral. Lineage: Eukaryota; Metazoa; Chordata; Actinopteri; Lobotiformes; Datnioididae.